This 522-nucleotide ribosomal RNA is filed under the name uncultured Glomus. RNAcentral describes it as "SSU rRNA". It matches the Rfam family "Eukaryotic small subunit ribosomal RNA", at positions 569 to 1092 of the family's 1831-position model. Lineage: Eukaryota; Fungi; Glomeromycota; Glomeromycetes; Glomerales; Glomeraceae. The record is from RNAcentral.
AGCAGCCGCGGUAAUUCCAGCUCCAAUAGCGUAUAUUAAAGUUGUUGCAGUUAAAAAGCUCGUAGUUGAAUUUCGGGGUUAGUAGGUUGGUCAUGCCUCUGGUAUGUACUGGUCUCACUGAUUCCUCCUUCCUGAUGAACCUUAAUGCCAUUAAUUUGGUGUUUUGGGGAAUUUGGACUGUUACUUUGAAAAAAUUAGAGUGUUUAAAGCAAGCUAACGCUUGAAUACAUUAGCAUGGAAUAAUGAAAUAGGACGUUCGAUCCUAUUUUGUUGGUUUCUAGGAUUGACGUAAUGAUUAAUAGGGAUAGUUGGGGGCAUUAGUAUUCAAUUGUCAGAGGUGAAAUUCUUGGAUUUAUUGAAGACUAACUACUGCAAAAGCAUUUGCCAAGGAUGUUUUCAUUAAUCAAGAACGAAAGUUAGGGGAUCGAAGACGAUCAGAUACCGUCGUAGUCUUAACCAUAAACUAUGCCGACUAGGGAUCGGAUGAUGUUAAUUUUUUAAUGACUCAUUCGGCGCCUUACG